AUACAGAGGGUGCGAGCGUUAAUCGGAUUUACUGGGCGUAAAGCGUGCGUAGGCGGCCAUUUAAGUCAAAUGUGAAAUCCCCGAGCUUAACUUGGGAAUUGCAUUCGAUACUGGAUGGCUAGAGUAUGGGAGAGGAUGGUAGAAUUCCAGGUGUAGCGGUGAAAUGCGUAGAGAUCUGGAGGAAUACCGAUGGCGAAGGCAGCCAUCUGGCCUAAUACUGACGCUGAGGUACGAAAGCAUGGGGAGCAAACAGGAUUAGAAACCCUAGUAGUCC
This 274-nucleotide ribosomal RNA is filed under the name uncultured bacterium. RNAcentral describes it as "partial 16S ribosomal RNA". It matches the Rfam family "Bacterial small subunit ribosomal RNA", at positions 523 to 796 of the family's 1533-position model. The record is from RNAcentral.